GACGAACGCUGGCGGCGUGCCUAAUACAUGCAAGUCGAACGAGAGCGACCGGUGCUUGCACUGGUCAAUCUAGUGGCGAACGGGUGAGUAACACGUGGGUAACCUGCCCAUCAGAGGGGGAUAACAUCCGGAAACGGAUGCUAAAACCGCAUAGGUCUUCGAACCGCAUGGUUUGAAGAGGAAAAGAGGCGCAAGCUUCUGCUGAUGGAUGGACCCGCGGUGCAUUAGCUAGUUGGUGAGGUAACGGCUCACCAAGGCCGUGAUGCAUAGCCGACCUGAGAGGGUGAUCGGCCACAUUGGGACUGAGACACGGCCCAAACUCCUACGGGAGGCAGCAGUAGGGAAUCUUCCGCAAUGGACGCAAGUCUGACGGAGCAACGCCGCGUGAGUGAAGAAGGUUUUCGGAUCGUAAAACUCUGUUGUUAGAGAAGAACAAGUGCUAGAGUAACUGUUAGCGCCUUGACGGUAGCUAAACAGAAAGCCACGGCUAACUACGUG
This 498-nucleotide ribosomal RNA is filed under the name uncultured bacterium. RNAcentral describes it as "partial 16S ribosomal RNA". It matches the Rfam family "Bacterial small subunit ribosomal RNA", at positions 28 to 507 of the family's 1533-position model. The record is from RNAcentral.